Molecule: ribosomal RNA, 490 nt
Filed under: uncultured bacterium
Lineage: Bacteria
Description: partial 16S ribosomal RNA
Rfam family: Bacterial small subunit ribosomal RNA
Source: RNAcentral
AUUGAACGCUGGCGGCAGGCCUAACACAUGCAAGUCGAACGGUAACAGGAAGAAGCUUGCUUCUUUGCUUACGAGUGGCGGACGGGUGAGUAAUGUCUGGGAAACUGCCUGAUGGAGGGGGAUAACUACUGGAAACGGUAGCUAAUACCGCAUAACGUCGCAAGACCAAAGAGGGGGACCUUCGGGCCUCUUGCCAUCGGAUGUGCCCAGAUGGGAUUAGCUAGUAGGUGGGGUAACGGCUCACCUAGGCGACGAUCCCUAGCUGGUCUGAGAGGAUGACCAGCCACACUGGAACUGAGACACGGUCCAGACUCCUACGGGAGGCAGCAGUGGGGAAUAUUGCACAAUGGGCGCAAGCCUGAUGCAGCCAUGCCGCGUGUAUGAAGAAGGCCUUCGGGUUGUAAAGUACUUUCAGCGGGGAGGAAGGGAGUAAAGUUAAUACCUUUACUCAUUGACGUUACCCGCAGAAGAAGCACCGGCUAACUCCGUG